GGCAAUCUGGGGUCCAGAAAUCAAUGAAUAAAUUGCCAUCAACCAGUGAAUAAAACAGUCAUCUGAUACUCGUGCAGAAGAGGUGGGCAGCACAGACAGAUCGUAAACCUGUGGUACUCCCAGCUCUCCACUGUGCCAGUGGCAUAUCCACAACUUUUGAGAAAUCAUCUCCAAUGAGCAAGAUCGUCUUUAAGUAGAGUGCUGAAGAUCCAGUCCUACAUUUUCAAGACCAUA
This is a long non-coding RNA of Cygnus olor (mute swan), 234 nucleotides long. RefSeq lists it as uncharacterized. The transcript has 3 exons. NCBI's taxonomy places the organism in Eukaryota, Metazoa, Chordata, Aves, Anseriformes, Anatidae. The record is from RefSeq and is a predicted model, not a curated record.